CACGUAGGCGGAUUGUUAAGUUAGGGUGAAAUCCCAGGGCUCAACCCUGGAACUGCCUUUAAUACUGGCAAUCUCGAGUCCGAGAGAGGUGAGUGGAAUUCCGAGUGUAGAGGUGAAAUUCGUAGAUAUUCGGAGGAACACCAGUGGCGAAGGCGGCUCACUGGCUCGGUACUGACGCUGAGGUGCGAAAGCGUGGGAGCAAACA
This 205-nucleotide ribosomal RNA is filed under the name uncultured bacterium. RNAcentral's name for it is "partial 16S ribosomal RNA". It matches the Rfam family "Bacterial small subunit ribosomal RNA", at positions 568 to 774 of the family's 1533-position model. The record is from RNAcentral.